CGGGUGUAGUUUAGUGGUAAAACUACAGCCUUCCAAGCUGUUGUCGCGAGUUCGAUUCUCGUCACCCGCU
RNAcentral lists this transfer RNA (70 nucleotides) under Streptococcus sp. Its description in RNAcentral is "tRNA-Gly". It matches the Rfam family "tRNA". Rfam says of the family: Transfer RNA (tRNA) molecules are approximately 80 nucleotides in length. Lineage: Bacteria; Bacillati; Bacillota; Bacilli; Lactobacillales; Streptococcaceae. The record is from RNAcentral. RNAcentral also lists the same sequence under 6 other names.